CUAGUACUCCCUGAAAAUACUUAUCAUUAAAAUGAAUAAAAGGGGAUGUAUCUAGAUGUAUUUUAGUUUUAGAUAUAUUUUUUUUUGUUUAUUUUGAUGACAAGUAUUUUCGGACGAAGGGAGUACUAC
Non-coding RNA from Triticum aestivum (bread wheat), 129 nucleotides. NCBI's taxonomy places the organism in Eukaryota, Viridiplantae, Streptophyta, Magnoliopsida, Poales, Poaceae. The record is from Rfam.